UGGGGAAUAUUGCACAAUGGGCGCAAGCCUGAUGCAGCCAUGCCGCGUGUAUGAAGAAGGCCUUCGGGUUGUAAAGUACUUUCAGCGGGGAGGAAGGGAGUAAAGUUAAUACCUUUGCUCAUUGACGUUACCCGCAGAAGAAGCACCGGCUAACUCCGUGCCAGCAGCCGCGGUAAUACGGAGGGUGCAAGCGUUAAUCGGAAUUACUGGGCGUAAAGUGCACGCAGGCGGUUUGUUAAGUCAGAUGUGAAAUCCCCGGGCUCAACCUGGGAACUGCAUCUGAUACUGGCAAGCUUGAGUCUCGUAGAGGGGGGUAGAAUUCCAGGUGUAGCGGUGAAAUGCGUAGAGAUCUGGAGGAAUACCGGUGGCGAAGGCGGCCCCCUGGACAAAGACUGACGCUCAGGUGCGAAAGCGUGGGGAGCAAACAGG
Molecule: ribosomal RNA, 429 nt
Filed under: Chloroflexota bacterium
Lineage: Bacteria; Bacillati; Chloroflexota
Description: Chloroflexi bacterium partial 16S ribosomal RNA
Rfam family: Bacterial small subunit ribosomal RNA
Source: RNAcentral